RNAcentral lists this ribosomal RNA (56 nucleotides) under Listeria monocytogenes. Its description in RNAcentral is "partial 23S ribosomal RNA". The record is from RNAcentral. Lineage: Bacteria; Bacillati; Bacillota; Bacilli; Caryophanales; Listeriaceae.
AGUAAAUUGGUUAAGUUAGAAAGGGCGCACGGUGGAUGCCUUGGCACUAGGAGCCG